RNAcentral lists this long non-coding RNA (413 nucleotides) under Cyclopterus lumpus (lumpfish). RNAcentral's name for it is "lncRNA (ENSCLMG00005011225.1)". Lineage: Eukaryota; Metazoa; Chordata; Actinopteri; Perciformes; Cyclopteridae. The record is from RNAcentral.
GAUCGCUAAGAACUUGUACUCGCUCCUCCCCGAGACGGCGGAGACCCGGUUCGCCAAGCAGAUGUCAGAGAUGCAGAGCGAGAAUAAGUACAAGCAGGACAAAGAGGAUCUGCCCAACUCGUUGUUCUCUCUGCUGCCGGAAACUCUGCACACUCAGUUUGUGAAGGAGAUGUCAGAGACACACAGCGAGGUCAAGUACAAGGAGGCAGGAAAGAAGGAGGCCAGCAGCUCCCUGUACCACCAGCUGCCCGAGACUCUGGAGACGCGGCGCGUUAAAGAGGUUACGGAGCUGCAGAGCGAGAACAAGUACAAGCACAGCGGGAGGCGCUCCACGUCCUCCAGUCUGUACGCUCGGCUGCCGCAGACGGCCGAGACGCAGCUCGCCACCAAGAUGUCCGACCUGCAGAGCGAGG